UGGAAUUGGCGGGGGAGCACUACAACGGGUGGAGCCUGCGGUUCAAUUGGAUUCAACGCCGGAAAGCUUACCGGGUCAGACAGCAAUAUGAAGGUCAAGCUAAAGACUUUACCGAAUUCGCUGAGAGGAGGUGCAUGGCCGUCGUCAGUUCGUAUCGUGAGACAUCCUGUUAAGUCAGGCAACGAGCAAGACCCGUGCCCACAGUUGCCAGCAUACCCUCCGGGGUGAUGGGCACACUGUGGGGACCGCCGCUGCUAAAGCGGAGGAAGGCGCGGGCUACGGUAGGUCAGUAUGCCCCGAAUCAUCCGGGCUACACGCGGGCUACAAUGGUUGGGACAAUGGGCACCUACACCGAGAGGUGAUGGUAAUCUCCUAAACCCAGCCUUAGUUCGGAUUGAGGGCUGCAACUCGCCCUCAUGAAGCCGGAAUCCGUAGUAAUCGCGUAUCAAUAUCACGCGGUGAAUACGUCCCUGCUCCUUGCACACACCGCCCGUCAAACCAUGCGAGUGAGGUCUGAAUGAGGGCACGCUUUUUGGCGUGUUCGAAUUUGGGCUUCGCGAGUGGGGUUAGUCGUAACAAG
This 580-nucleotide ribosomal RNA is filed under the name uncultured euryarchaeote. RNAcentral describes it as "bacterial SSU rRNA". It matches the Rfam family "Archaeal small subunit ribosomal RNA", at positions 858 to 1442 of the family's 1478-position model. Lineage: Archaea; Methanobacteriati; Methanobacteriota. The record is from RNAcentral.